AUCAAUUAUGAUCAAGGGCUUCACAGGAGAAGGGGUAGUUUAUAGAACAAUAAUGAGGACAGAUGUUUGGUAACUAGUUGUUUGCCCUGCCAUGUAGAUGGGUCACUCAGAUAAAAUAUAUUUUUGCUAAUAAUUCAGAUUGUGGGGAAGACCCCCAAUUUAAAUUCUCCUUGGUAGUUAAGGGAGGGGCAGAAGUUUCUCUUGAUCCGCAGGGUCUUCAUUGCCUUUUAGCUCAAAACAAUCCACGUGUCAAAGUGGCACAUUUUAGGGAGGCUCAUUCUGAACCCCUUCCGUCCCACCUUUGAAACCUCUCUGAGAAGUCUCACAGUCCAGAAGUUGAGUUGGUAGGUUACUUCACCUCACUCAGUCUCUUAGUCCUGACAGUAAGUCAGUUCAGUUAAACAAUUGCGUCUCAUUUCAGGCCCUGGAGAAGGGCAUGGCAACCCACUCCAAUAUUCUUGCCUGGGAAACCCCAUGGACAGAGGAGCCUUGCAAGUUACAGUCCGUGGGGUCACAGAGUUGGACAUGCUGAGUGACUAACACUUUGACUUUUCAAAGUCAGUCUUAGUUCCUUAAAUCUGUUUGGUCACUAUUUGAGUCAGUCUAUGGACAUUCUUAAACAUGACAUUCCAGCCAAAACCUUGGCAGUAUGACCAAUGUUUCCAGUUAUAUCCUGUUAUAAGUAGAUCAUAUUCCUUUUGAAUUUAUGCAGAUAAGUUUACUGCUAAGAAAAUAAGAAUAUUCAGAGUUUCCAAAUUCUGGAAGGAUCAGAUAGGGAGAAAGAAAGAAAUGAUUCAGUUCUCUUACAAAGGUAUAAUUUACCAAAUCUUUAAGUCAUAGUGAACUUAAGAGGAAAGGUUUUUUUUUAUAUCUGGAAAACAAAAUGUUAGAAAACCAGCAUGAGAAGUCUAAAAAUUAUGGUCAUCCAGACUGGCUGAAUGGAUACAAAAACAAGACCCCUAUAUAUGCUGUCUACAAGAGACCCACCUCAAAACAAGGGACACAUACAGACAAAAAUUCAAGGGCUGGAAAAAAAUAUUUCACGCAA
Molecule: long non-coding RNA, 1048 nt
Organism: Cervus elaphus (red deer)
Lineage: Eukaryota; Metazoa; Chordata; Mammalia; Artiodactyla; Cervidae
Exons: 3
Source: RefSeq, a predicted model, not a curated record